Long non-coding RNA from Gasterosteus aculeatus aculeatus (three-spined stickleback), 899 nucleotides. The record is from Ensembl. NCBI's taxonomy places the organism in Eukaryota, Metazoa, Chordata, Actinopteri, Perciformes, Gasterosteidae.
CAGGAAAGCGCUUCCUUUUGUCUCUGCUCAGACAGAAAAUAAACAAGACCACGCGGAGGGAAAAAGAGGCAGCAGCCUUCGUGGACGGAAAGAGCAAAAAGCCAAACAGGAGAAGCAGCCGACCUGAAGAAGAGGAAGCGAGGAGGAGGAGGAGGAGGAGAUGACGAGCGUGGAGCGGUAGAAGCAGAUGAAAAUGGUGCCAAGAAGAAGAGAUCUUUGGAUCCCUCCGCCAAGCUUUCAGCGUUUGCUUUUAACAAAAACUAACUUUUAGAUCCUCGACGUGUCCGUGCUGCUGAUUCUGUUCUUUGAGGCACUCCGAAGGUUUAAAGAGGCCUUCGGUUAGUGAUCAGCUGGACCGUCAUCUCUUCCAUUCGUGGUGUUUCUUCUGUGUAUUUUAAAAGUUGAAUAAAUGUAGAUGUUUGUUGGUUUACUUUACUCAAUGAUCAUUUUUGAUUUAAAAGGUAGACGUCACAGUUGUGUUCUUAUUGUGUUGUCUUCACUGUGUCCGUCCGGCUCUAAGAGACCAUCUGCUCUCCCAGAGGAGGCGGAGCUUCGGUCGGGGGAACUACUUUCAGCGGCGGAUGAAUAUUACGUGUUUCCCAAACUUCUUUUCUGGGGAUCCACUUUGUCCCUAAAAAAAUAAACAAAUUUGUGAUUUCAUUUAGAAAAGGCUUCAACAGCUGGUUAGUGAUUUAAAGAGGUGAAACAUUUGGUCCUACAUUUCCCAUGAUGCAUCAUUUCAACCCCACACUCAUUGACUCCUCACAGGGAAGUUAAGUUCGUGAAUAAUUGUGUAAAUGUAUUGUUUUUUAAUUAGUCUUCUUUAUAAAGAUGCAACCGGCAAAAACAAUAUUUUUAAAUGAAUAACUACAAAUAGAAUAAGACCUGUAUUAAAAGGA